This 571-nucleotide unclassified non-coding RNA is filed under the name Hevea brasiliensis (rubber tree). The record is from RNAcentral. Lineage: Eukaryota; Viridiplantae; Streptophyta; Magnoliopsida; Malpighiales; Euphorbiaceae.
GGACCAUUUUGGGAACUGUCAUAGGUAUAUGAUUUGCUUAAUGGCUGAUUUUUCACUUGUUCUAUUUCUAUGUGCCCAAGCUUGGGUAAUAUUCAUCAUUAUAAUGACUUAAUUGCAUGUCCUGCUUGUCAUAUCCAUUAUUUUAACCAUGUUUGAGUGAACCAAAUGUUACAAAAGAUAAUAAUGCAUGUAAGAUUAUUUCCAGUUUCUUUCAGUGUGGUUGUAAUAUGCACCUUUGUGACAAGAAGAUAAUAUUGAUGUAUAAAGCAAAUCGUCAUGCUUUGACUUUCAGCUUUAAGUAACGGUUUGAUUUGGACUCUGGGAAUAUACAUUCUGGAUGGGGAGAAAACAUGGGAGAAUUUCUGUAGGCAUUAUCAAAGAUAUUUGAUUUGAAUGCAUGUAUAGUGGUAGGGUUUGGCAAUUGGAUCAAUAGCCAAUCUUAGGUAUUAAAUAUUGAGUUUUUCUUUUUCUUCUUCUUUUACUUUUUCCUCUUCAGCAUAAAAAUGACUUUAGUACGUAGCAAUUUUGAUAUGUUGCUGAUGUGCCUAACUAGUUAGAAGUUACUUUUCCA